This is a long non-coding RNA of Cuculus canorus (common cuckoo), 2747 nucleotides long. RefSeq lists it as uncharacterized. Lineage: Eukaryota; Metazoa; Chordata; Aves; Cuculiformes; Cuculidae. The transcript is spliced from 11 exons. The record is from RefSeq and is a predicted model, not a curated record.
CGCUCGGCUUCUCUCUGCUCCGCCCGGCCACCGUUCGGCACGAGUGGGCUCUGCUCUUCGGUGUCCUGCCUCCCACAGCGCUCGCCGCCGGACGCGGCCAGUAGGAUGGAGGCUUGGAGGCUUGGGCUGGGAGAGCGAUAGCGCCCCGUGUCCCCCUAGUCUCCCUCCGAAGCUCUCCUGUCCCUGCCCGGGGUGCCCGCGCCCCCUAUGUCCCUCACGUCCCCCUGUGGCCCCUGACAGCCCCUUGAGCUCCGGCUCGGCUCGGCUGCGUUCGGUUCCCCUUAGCUCCCGCCCCGAGCAGUACCGGCCACCCUGGGCCCCCGCGUUGUGGCCACGUCCAGGUGCCAGGACGGGCGCCUACAUCCCGGGAGGCGGCCCCGAGCGGCCGCCUCGCCCCGCCUCGCCGUGCCCGGGGGCGGCUCUGCGGGCAGCGGAGCGCAGGGCGGGAGCGCGGCAGAGACCUGCUGCGGGCGGGGAUCGGGAGCUGCCCGUGCCCGCUGUCCGCCGGGGACCGGGGCGCUGCUGCGCCGGCACCGCUCGUGCACGGCUGGAACGGGGCUGCGCUCACCACUAUGGAGCCUUCCCAUCUCUCUUGUAUGCUCAUGGCGGAAGAGGGUGACCACGGUGCAAUGGAAGCGGUUGACAUUCAGCCCAAAAAGCCAGUCUGGAGAAUGUCCUUGUUGCAGAAAAUAUGGCAAAAGUCUCACGGAAGAGCCCCGCUUUUUCAAAGCUUGGUAUUCUUCUGUCUUCUGUCCCACCACGAUCGAUACUGGAUCUGCAGCUGGAGCUGUUGUCUGGUCAUCAGUUCUCCAGCGCUUGCUAAGCCAGAGGAACCACCUCUAGGAGUGGAAAGGAAAACGAGGUGGUCCCUGUGAGCAAAGCUAGCCUCUGCGGUGCCCUUCGAACCGAAAACGCCAGAGCAGAGGCACGUGGAAAUUUGCCCCUUCUCUUCCGGUGCCCGUGACGGAGCGUAGCAAAUACGAAAAGAGGAAAUGCUGGAAGAAUUGCCGAAAGAGAGGGGGUGUCCCGGUUCAAGGUUCUACUUCUGCCUUCCUUUGACCGUCUGAGGCUGCCAGAGAAAGUCAAAACCCACGCUCAGCCUGAGCCGUUCCCUCUGCGCGUGGAUGAUCAAGGAGCGCUUGCCACUGUACAGAGCUGCAAACAGCAGAUCGGAUGAGAAGGGUUUCCCCCAAGUGGAUGAAGAGCUGUGGGGUGUUUUCUGAGCAGCAGCUGUGCGCAGCUGGAUCCCUUUGCUGACCGUCUCUGUGCCUGGGGAUUUACUGACCUGUAAACGACCCGCUGCUUUUCUUGUGGGAAGCCUGCAGCGGACAACUGACAUUCUCCUGAGGCGAUGUUGGGCAAAACUUCAAAGGGCCUUGGAAAGGCAGGAGGGUUCAAAGCUCAUCCCAUCAUGGUGCCGUUGGCGGGAGCUUUCUGUCCUUCGAAAGGAAAUGAAGCUGUUUUCAGCCAGGGUUCUGCAGACUUGGCUGAUGGGCACCGAGAGCCAGUCAGAUGGUGGCGAGAGCAGUGGGAAAAAGAAGAAGCUGCUCAUCCGAGGAGAUGAGCGAUGGAUGGUGUCUGGGUUCAAAGCUCUGCCUUCCUCUGACCGUGUGAAGCUGCCGGAGGAGGUCAGAACCCCAACUCAGCCUGAGUUGUUCCUUCUGCAGAUGGAUGAAUGGGAUGCUGCUGCCCUCCAGAGCUGAACAGAGCCGGUAGGAUGAGAAGGAGAGUCUUUUCGGUGCUGACGUUCCUGAAAGCCUUGUGCUGGCAACAAAAAGGGAGCUGCGAGCGUUUGAGAAACGGUGGGCAGGUAGAGGAGCCGUAAGGAAGAGGCACCAAGAGCGGGUCAGACGGUGACAAGAGCAGUGGGAACAGGAAGAAGUUUCUCUGCCAAGACGAGAAAAUGGUUCAUGAGGCAGACCGGGUGCGCAAAUACCGCAGCGCAGGAGUGAAGCCCAGCGAUCAGCCACUGACUGUGCCAAAGUCUCCCGACGUCUCAGGUAGACUCCGGUGCUGACGGGCAUCUGUGUCCGCUCUCUGGACAGGCAGAGAAGAGAGGGAGCAGUUACUUUUGUGCCAUCGCUCUGUCUCAGUGCUAUGCUUGGUUCCAUUCUCGUUACGCUUGAAACGCAGAUGGAGGUGAGCUCUACCUGAGGCAGGUGUCUCGGGCACGGCACGUGGGCAGUGCCGCGUGUUCUCUGUGGCCCGGCUUUGGGUCUAGGCGCCUUGUCCUCCGGAGACUAACCCCUUGGCCUUGUUACUUUAUACAAAUAUCGUGUACCUGAACUAGAUCAAAAUUCCUAACCCGAUUGCUGUCCCUCACUGCUGGGCUGAAUCCCUUUCCUGCAGAGGCUUUGGUGAAAGGCACUUGCCCAACAUGCAACAAUGUGUGUGUCUGGAAGAGGUGCCUUGCUGUCAUACCUCUCGCUCUCCAGUGUGUGUUUCUUAGGCUCGUGGUCAGUGUUAAGCUUGAAUUGUGUGCAGUCUCCGGGGCUUCUGCGAGUCAGCACGUUGCAGGUCUGACCCUGGCAACAGAGGUGUGCCAGGAGCCUUUUGUGCCCCAAAAGGAGAGUAAAUAGCAGUGUCCCCAGGCUGCUUUUCUGUGUCAGACUUUCACAUGGAUGUGAUUUAGAACGUCUUAGCGUAACGACUUUCCACCGGGUGAGAUGCAGUUUGGUUUGGUUUGUCUUUUUGACAAAGUACGUCUAACAGAAUAACUAUUCGAAGGAAUGGUUAUUCUUUUUGGA